This 756-nucleotide ribosomal RNA is filed under the name unidentified microorganism. RNAcentral's name for it is "bacterial SSU rRNA". It matches the Rfam family "Bacterial small subunit ribosomal RNA", at positions 51 to 817 of the family's 1533-position model. The record is from RNAcentral.
ACACAUGCAGUCGUANNAUGGAUAGCCCGCUUGCUGGUGGAUUAGUGGCGAACGGGUGAGUAACACGUGAGCAACCUGCCCCUGACUUCGGGAUAACCGCGGGAAACCGUGGCUAAUACCGGAUAUGACGCGCUAUCGCAUGGUGGUGUGUGGAAAGAUUUAUCGGUUGGGGAUGGGCUCGCGGCCUAUCAGCUUGUUGGUGGGGUGAUGGCCUACCAAGGCGACGACGGGUAGCCGGCCUGAGAGGGUGACCGGCCACACUGGGACUGAGACACGGCCCAGACUCCUACGGGAGGCAGCAGUGGGGAAUAUUGCACAAUGGGCGCAAGCCUGAUGCAGCGACGCCGCGUGAGGGAUGACGGCCUUCGGGUUGUAAACCUCUUUCAGUAGGGAAGAAGGCCUUCGGGUUGACGGUACCUGCAGAAGAAGCGCCGGCUAACUACGUGCCAGCAGCCGCGGUAAUACGUAGGGCGCAAGCGUUGUCCGGAAUUAUUGGGCGUAAAGAGCUCGUAGGCGGUUUGUCGCGUCUGCUGUGAAAACGCGAGGCUUAACCUCGCGCCUGCAGUGGGUACGGGCAGACUAGAGUGCGGUAGGGGAGACUGGAAUUCCUGGUGUAGCGGUGGAAUGCGCAGAUAUCAGGAGGAACACCGGUGGCGAAGGCGGGUCUCUGGGCCGUUACUGACGCUGAGGAGCGAAAGCAUGGGGAGCGAACAGGAUUAGAUACCCUGGUAGUCCAUGCCGUAAACGUUGGGCACU